Long non-coding RNA from Cannabis sativa, 851 nucleotides. RefSeq lists it as uncharacterized. The transcript is spliced from 2 exons. The record is from RefSeq and is a predicted model, not a curated record. Lineage: Eukaryota; Viridiplantae; Streptophyta; Magnoliopsida; Rosales; Cannabaceae.
UUUUGCAAUUUAUUAUUAAAUAUGGAUCUUUUAGCAAUUUUUUUUUUACACUUAAAUUAUUUUAAUUUUUAUAACAAAACUCUUAAUAAUUGAAAAUUAUACACAUAUAAUUUGAUAAUUAAAAUUUUAUUAUACUUAUAAUAUUAAUUUAAAAUGAUUACACUUUAUUAUACUUCUUGUAUUUCAGUGUAUGUUAAUAAUAUCCUCUCUUGUAUUGUCAAUAUUGUACUUCAUCUGGGUUCUUACUAUAUUUGUUAUCUUAUUCUUGUUUAGACUUGUUUCAUCAUCAACUAUGUGUGCUUGAAAAGUAUAUUUUUUUAUCGAUCCAGCUUGAGUACAAUUUAUGAUUGCAAGAUAAUGUGCCAUAGGAAUGGGAGUCAAUUUUAAAUGUUAUUGCUGCUGUUAGCACUUUCUUUCUAGAACUAGUUUUCAUUUAUGAGUGUCGUUCAAUGUAAUUUUGAUUAAAGAUUCGGGCUCAAGGCUGAAUGGUAUUUCAUUAUGUACAGGGCAAAAAGGUUAAAGUUCCAAUAUUCCUUGUCCCAGCUACCCAAAAGGUGUGGAUGGACUUAUAUAGUCUUCUAAAUUUUUAUCAAUCUGUAAAAGAUUUAAAAAAUCACUCCAAACAGCUACAUCAGGAUCAAUCCAUUCAUGGUUAACAUCUUCAAUGUCAUGCUCAAUUCCACUGUUACUCAUGUCAGAGACAUCUUCUUCGCAUUUCUUUUUCACAAAACUCAUGAAAUGAAAAAAAUUAUCUUCAUCUUCGGACAAAUUUGCUAUAGGUUCUAUGUUUUUGUUGUCAAAUAUUUUCGAUGUAAGUGUGGUGGAGAGUGAAUGAAAGAGGAUAAAUGCGA